Molecule: ribosomal RNA, 605 nt
Filed under: Leptotrombidium sp. TLMW-1
Lineage: Eukaryota; Metazoa; Arthropoda; Arachnida; Trombidiformes; Trombiculidae
Description: small subunit rRNA
Source: RNAcentral
AGAAACAUAUUAUGAAAAAAGUAAGUAUUCAGAUUUUAAUAUUAUUUUACUUCAGAAUUAAUUAUUCCUCUCAAAUGGCGUGCCAGCAGUCUCGGUUACACGAUUAGUCAUUAAAAUGAGCUAUUUUUAUUGGAGAGAAAAAUAGAAAAAAAUCUAAAAUAAGUGAAAUUUUUAGAAAAUAAUAAAUUUUCUUUAAUAAAAAAAAUAAAAAAAAGAAGAAGGAUUAGAUACCCUUUCACUUUUUAUCAAAGGUAGUAAAUGAAAUUCAUUAAACCUAAAAAAUUUGGCGGUUUUUUAUCCUCUCAGGGGAAUUUGCCUAUUAAAUCGAUAAUCCCCGAUUAAAAAAACCCUUUCUUUAAACUUAUAUAUUUCCGAAAAAUAAAAUGUAAAUUAUUUACUCAGGUAAAAUGUAGUUCAUGAAAAGGAAUUGGUUAAUUACUAAAAAGAAAUUGAAUUAAAAUUUGAAAUAAUAAGGACCUGAAAGUAAAUUUUUAUAUAUAAUAAAGAAUUGAAAUGGCAAUUAAAAAUGUACAUAUCGCCCGUCACCCUAAGUAUUAGGUAAGUCGUAACAAAGUAGAUGUUUCGGAAGAAGCCUCUUGUAAAAU